CCUACGGGAGGCAGCAGUGGGGAAUCUUCCGCAAUGGGCGAAAGCCUGACGGAGCAACGCCGCGUGAUCGAAUGAAGGCCUCCGGGUUGUAAAGAUCUGUUGACAGGGACAAAUAAGCCAUGCGAAUAGAUUGGUGUAUGACGGUACCUGUUUAGAAAGCUCCGGCUAACUACGUGCCAGCAGCCGCGGUAAUACGUAGGGAGCAAGCGUUGUCCGGAAUUACUGGGCGUAAAGGGCGCGUAGGUGGGUGCGUAAGUCAGUAGUGAAAACUCUGGGCUCAACCUGGAGACUGCACUUGAAACUGGGUAUCUUGAGUGCAGGAGAGGAAAGUGGAAUUCCUAGUGUAGCGGUGAAAUGCGUAGAUAUUAGGAGGAACACCAGUGGCGAAGGCGACUUUCUGGACUGUACCUGACGCUGAGGCGCGAAAGCGUGGGUAGCGAACAGGAUUAGAUACCCUGGUAGUA
This 464-nucleotide ribosomal RNA is filed under the name uncultured bacterium. Its description in RNAcentral is "partial 16S ribosomal RNA". It matches the Rfam family "Bacterial small subunit ribosomal RNA", at positions 338 to 795 of the family's 1533-position model. The record is from RNAcentral.